Long non-coding RNA from Phyllostomus hastatus (greater spear-nosed bat), 569 nucleotides. RefSeq lists it as uncharacterized. NCBI's taxonomy places the organism in Eukaryota, Metazoa, Chordata, Mammalia, Chiroptera, Phyllostomidae. The record is from RefSeq and is a predicted model, not a curated record. The transcript has 3 exons.
CGGGCUCUCAGGAGUGCUAGUGUGACGGGAGCAGCCUGGCAGGCUGCUUUCCCGCUGAUCUGGGGGAGCAGGCAGCUGCUUCACAGAAGACGACUCUGGGGUCUGGAUAUCGGGUGCAAUGAAUAUAUAAGUUUGAACUUAGAAAAGGAGAUAUACCAGAAGAAAUGGCCAAUGACAGACAGAAAGAGUAUAUUGCCUCCUUGUCUGUGCCUCCAUGAAUCUUAUUCUUCAGAGGCCCUGGUUCAUGGGGCAGAUCAUCCUGGUAACAGUGUGAAAGAAGACAAGUACCCCGGAAGAAGGAGGACCAGUUUUAGGGAGGGCCUGUGUAACCUAAGUGAAAAACGAUGAGGCCUGAACCUGGGCCAUCAGUGGAGAUGGGAGGCUGGAGACAGAGGCAGGGACAACAGGACCCAGAAAGUAAUAAAAAGUCUGAAAAAGCACCCACUGAACUGAGUAAACAGAUCAGCCUUAUUAAGAGGCUCAUCAUUGUGAUGGUGGGAUAGAAGCCCCAUGAACACAGUAGGUAGAGAGGUAAAUCGGAGGUGCAACUGAGCAUGCUAGACCUAAAA